GUACUCAAACAAUAAAUCUCUAUGAGACGAUAUCUUUUCUUUGCUACUUGAACGACCCGUAUACUUGCGGAGUACGCAAUCAGAGAGUUAUAGGAUUUGGGGUGGAACAACAUGACAAAUCAAGUUAGAAAGGAAGAAAAUGGUGGGAGCUUGGAGGAGUGAUGGUUCAACCAUGGUGAGUGAAGAAGAAGAAGAAGGCUUCAUUAAGUAAUUUUGUCUCAUUUUGCUUCCUUCUUAUCCCUUUAUAAUUAUUUGUUAAAUUUUAAUUGGUCAACAAUUUUUAAUGAGGUCAUUACACAUCAUCCUUACCUCAUAAUUCACUUAUAUUUUGAUUUUCUUUCUUUU
This 345-nucleotide unclassified non-coding RNA is filed under the name Hevea brasiliensis (rubber tree). The record is from RNAcentral. Lineage: Eukaryota; Viridiplantae; Streptophyta; Magnoliopsida; Malpighiales; Euphorbiaceae.